This 468-nucleotide ribosomal RNA is filed under the name uncultured bacterium. RNAcentral's name for it is "partial 16S ribosomal RNA". It matches the Rfam family "Bacterial small subunit ribosomal RNA", at positions 28 to 507 of the family's 1533-position model. The record is from RNAcentral.
GACGAACGCUGGCGGCGUGCUUAACACAUGCAAGUCGAACGGAAAGGCCCUGCUUUUGUGGGGUGCUCGAGUGGCGAACGGGUGAGUAACACGUGAGUAACCUGCCCUUGACUUUGGGAUAACUUCAGGAAACUGGGGCUAAUACCGGAUAGGAGCUCCUGCUGCAUGGUGGGGGUUGGAAAGUUUCGGCGGUUGGGGAUGGACUCGCGGCUUAUCAGCUUGUUGGUGGGGUAGUGGCUUACCAAGGCUUUGACGGGUAGCCGGCCUGAGAGGGUGACCGGCCACAUUGGGACUGGGAUACGGCCCAGACUCCUACGGGAGGCAGCAGUGGGGAAUAUUGCACAAUGGGCGGAAGCCUGAUGCAGCAACGCUGCGUGCGGGAUGACGGCCUUCGGGUUGUAAACCGCUUUCGCCUGUGACGAAGCGUGAGUGACGGUAAUGGGUAAAGAAGCACCGGCUAACUACGUG